CCGCCAGAUAUUGAACAUAAAAUCUCGUGCAGAAACAGUCUUCAACAUUUCAAGCUGGGAAUUGGUUGUUGCUUUGGUUCUUCCUGUGGAAAAGGCGCCAUCAAGAUGGAUCUACCAGAGGUGUGCAGUGCUCGCCAGAAAUCCUGCUUCGAUGUCGGGUGAUGUCUAAUGUACUCCUACGAAAACCCUGAAUCCGAUGGAUCUCUAUCAGAGGUGUGCAGUGCGUUCGCCAAAAACCCUGCUAGUUCAAUCCUCCGAAACCCUGCUUCGGUGUCGGAUGAUGUCUAGUUCAAUCCUCCGAAACCCUAAUUCGGGUUACCAUGGAGCCACUCUAGCAAAUGGGCUCAAUUUUAGUGCUCACAAGUAGCCACUGAGAUGUGCCAGCAAUUAAUCUCCUAUCCCUUCAGGUUUCCCCCUGUCGCUGCUCGCGUUUUCUGGUUCAAUUUCGUGCUCGCUGCUGUUACCUCUGGAGUGUCCCUGGAUCUGUCAUCUGAUUGCUGGUAGAGGCUUGUGCAAUUACUGGCCCGAUCCAUGACGAUGACGGCAUUGAAUGACGACGUAUUUGGUUGCUUUGUUCUCAUCGAUCAUUUGCAUUCUGCCAUUUCCAUGUUUUUCUUUGCUAUCCAUUUCAAUGUUGAUGAUAGAGAUCUUCGGAAAGAAA
Sycon ciliatum is the source of this 661-nucleotide long non-coding RNA. RefSeq lists it as uncharacterized. The transcript has 6 exons. The record is from RefSeq and is a predicted model, not a curated record. Lineage: Eukaryota; Metazoa; Porifera; Calcarea; Leucosolenida; Sycettidae.